This is a non-coding RNA of Vicia faba (fava bean), 297 nucleotides long. The record is from the annotation of a GenBank genome assembly. Lineage: Eukaryota; Viridiplantae; Streptophyta; Magnoliopsida; Fabales; Fabaceae.
AUGGCUUCCUCUCUUGCAACAGAGGAUGCUCUACUUCUUCGUUUGGAUAUGCCUGGACUCGGUAAGGAUGCUGUGAAGAUCUCUGUGGAACAUAACACUGUUAUUAUUAAAGGUGAAGAAAGUGGUCAAGAAAGUCAGGAAAGUGGUCGUCGAUUCUCUAGCAGAAUUGAUUUACCGGAUAAGCUUUACAAGAAUGAUGAGAUUAAAGCUGAGAUGAAAAAUGGCGUGCUCAAGGUUAUUGUGCCUAAGAUGAAGGAACAAGAAAGGAACAAUGUCAUUAACGUCAAGGUUAACUAG